This 477-nucleotide ribosomal RNA is filed under the name uncultured bacterium. Its description in RNAcentral is "partial 16S ribosomal RNA". It matches the Rfam family "Bacterial small subunit ribosomal RNA", at positions 28 to 523 of the family's 1533-position model. The record is from RNAcentral.
GACGAACGCUGGCGGCAUGCCUAACACAUGCAAGUCGAGCGAGCAGAACCCUUCGGGGUGAAGCUAGCGGCGGACGGGUGAGUAACACGUGGGCAACCUGCCUCAUAGAGGGGAAUAGCCUUCCGAAAGGAAGAUUAAUACCGCAUAAGAUUGUAGCUUCGCAUGAAGCAGCAAUUAAAGGAGCAAUCCGCUAUGAGAUGGGCCCGCGGCGCAUUAGCUAGUGGUGAGGUAACGGCUCACCAAGGCGACGAUGCGUAGCCGACCUGAGAGGGUGAUCGGCCACAUUGGGACUGGGACACGGCCCAGACUCCUACGGGAGGCAGCAGUGGGGAAUAUUGCACAAUGGGGGAAACCCUGAUGCAGCAAUGCCGCGUGAGUGAUGACGGCCUUCGGGUUGUAAAGCUCUGUCUUCGGGGACGAUAAUGACGGUACCCGAGGAGGAAGCCACGGCUAACUACGUGCCAGCAGCCGCCGCCG